AAAUAUGCCGAUGUUAGAAACAAAAGGCAAUAUCUCUGCAGUACGGAUUUGGACAAACAAACACUACUCCACCACUUUAAUAAGAUACACCACUGAAACCUGUAUUGCCCCAAAGUCAAAAAAAAAAAAAAAAAAGUCCCUCUAGAUUCAUUGAAGAGUAAGAGCUUGGCUAACCAACGAAGGGUGAAUAGUUUGACUAGGAUAAUAAUUUGUAUGUCGUGGACGAUUUGUAAAGUCUGAUUAGGACAUAAUUUAUAUAAGUUUGGAAUGUUGGAAUAUUAAUGAUCAUUAUGAAACUGUUCCUAUAAAUGCUUAGAAAUCAUCCCUUAGAACUGCUCCUAUAAGCCUGCUCAGGUAUUUUACUGUUAAAAUAUUUUCAUAGAUUUAUAAGUUUUUAUUUUCCACGUAAAAUCUAUUCCAAUUUUUUGCUUAGAUUUGAUUUAUUUCUUGCCCUUAUUUAGAUUCAUAUUUCGUCUUGCAAGAUUAAUAAUCUCUCAUUUUAGUUUUAUAUACGAUUCUUCUGUUAUUUUGGCUUCUCCUUUCAAAUAGCCCAACCAUACAAAUCAUGUUUGUUUGCUCUCAAUUUUUAAACAUGGGGUUUAUUUGACAUUGGGCAAGGUAUGAGGUUUCUUUGUUGAGUUCAAUUUAAUUUCUUUCUUUAGUGUUUCCACACCAAUUUACACUUAAAACUUCAACAAAUUGGUCAAACUAAAUAGCUUUCAGAUUAUAUUGCAAGAUUGGAAUCUCAAAAUUUAAUAUUAACUUGAUAUGCUAUGUUUUCCAUUUUUGAGUUUGGGGUUUUUCUGUUGAAAUUGCCCGACAAUAAUGUGAUUCCGAACUCAUCCCAUGGGAACAACUUCCAUUUAUUCAAUUUAUUUUAAAUUAUCUCAUAAAAAACAAAAAUCCCUCCAAAAGUCUGAAACAAUAUAAUCUCUCAACAAAAGGCUAUUUUUGAUGCUAGAUAUUGUCUUACAGGUUGGAAGGAUUACAAUCUCCCAACUUUGAUUAUUUGUAUCAGUCUUCUAUUAUUUUUAGGUUUCUCACCUUAUUAAUUUGUUGUUGUUUUUUCUCUCUAUUAAAGAGUAUCUCUUCAAUUUUCGUUACGUUCAAUAAUCUUUCUUAUGUUGUGUCUACUUUAAUAAUCCAUUCUACAAUCUUUCUCUUCUUUUAUGUAAUUGAAUCUUAGACUGUUGUGUCUACUUACUUCUUCAUUUUUAUUUUUUUUAUGAAAAAGAAUAUAAUGUCUACUUAAUUCUUUCUAUACACAAUAAUCCAUUCUACAAUCUUCUUCUUUCUUUUAUAUAAUUGCUAAUCUCAGAAUGUUGUGUUUUGUUUAUUUUUGUAGUUAUCCACUGCUAUAAGGAAUCAGUGGGAACAUCAUUGGGAGCCCUGAAGUGAGGUACUUCUUUCUAUUAAAUUCUCUUUUAUUCCACGUAUAACUCUCCAACCUUCAGUAACUUAAACGCAUUUCCCAAUGCCGCGCAGACAAUUCCCAGUUCACUUGGAUUUCGCAAUAACUAUCAACACAAGGCCAAUCCGUUAAAUUUGUUAGAAUAGACUUGAGAAACCAUGUUUUCAGCCAUGGUCAACUUUAUGUUGCAUAGUCGAGGUGUACUUCUUCAAAAGAAUACAAUAACCAAUGUUGUUUACCCUGAAGUUUUACUGUAGCAAUAUCAACACAGUAAGGUAAGUUCUUAUCCUAUGACUGUUCUUUGUUCUGUGCAUAUAAUUUCAAUAUCCUAUAUACUUAUGAAGGAAUCUUACAU
Molecule: long non-coding RNA, 1766 nt
Filed under: Aquilegia coerulea
Lineage: Eukaryota; Viridiplantae; Streptophyta; Magnoliopsida; Ranunculales; Ranunculaceae
Description: long non-coding RNA (ACOE_LNC000381)
Source: RNAcentral